GGACGUCUAGCUCAGCCGGUUAGAGCAUCUCGCUUACACCGAGAAGGUCGAGGGUUCGAAUCCCCCGGCGUCCACCA
This 77-nucleotide transfer RNA is filed under the name Opitutaceae bacterium. Its description in RNAcentral is "tRNA-Val". It matches the Rfam family "tRNA". Rfam says of the family: Transfer RNA (tRNA) molecules are approximately 80 nucleotides in length. Lineage: Bacteria; Pseudomonadati; Verrucomicrobiota; Opitutia; Opitutales; Opitutaceae. The record is from RNAcentral.